GUAGGGAAUCUUCCACAAUGGACGAAAGUCUGAUGGAGCAACACCGCGUGAGUGAAGAAGGGUUUCGGCUCGUAAAGCUCUGUUGGUAGUGAAGAAAGAUAGAGGUAGUAACUGGCCUUUAUUUGACGGUAAUUACUUAGAAAGUCACGGCUAACUACGUGCC
Molecule: ribosomal RNA, 163 nt
Filed under: uncultured bacterium
Lineage: Bacteria
Description: partial 16S ribosomal RNA
Rfam family: Bacterial small subunit ribosomal RNA
Source: RNAcentral